Triticum aestivum (bread wheat) is the source of this 1346-nucleotide long non-coding RNA. RefSeq lists it as uncharacterized. Lineage: Eukaryota; Viridiplantae; Streptophyta; Magnoliopsida; Poales; Poaceae. The record is from RefSeq and is a predicted model, not a curated record. The transcript is spliced from 6 exons.
UGUACCAAAUCGCAAGGGGAAAAAGAAAUUGAAGCUGCUGCUCCAAAUCUGAGUACCCUGCCCGUCCAUGGGGAGAUGCUCUACCAAUUCGCAAGUGUAGCUAUUGUAGCAGUUUGAUUUGCUUGCCCAUCCAUGGCCAAAUCUUGGAGGAGGUGAUCUUUGUGGCCAUUUUUUGCCGAGGCCAGGACAUGCGCUGUGGAUCUGGCGUCUCCCACCAGCGAUGCGGCAUCUCACUUUUGCCUAUGUAGUUCAUUGCCGCUGAGACAUAUGGCUGUGUCGUUGGGUUCAGGGCCCAUCUUCUGUGUAUCGUUCCUGUCGUCUUAGGGUGCGGACAUGCUGACAGGUACUGGCGCAGUUUGCCGUUGAGCAGGGUGCACGGAUGCGUUUGUCGCAUUCUCGAUGGUCUGGAUCCUUGACAACCUUGUUGAGUCCGGCAGUGUGUUCUCAAGUUUUGGCCAAGCUGAUGACCUCUUCUUGGCUUACGGCUAGAGGUCUAUGGCAGAGGUGUUGUAGUUUGGCCCAGUGGAGGAGGCUGCGAGGGAAAUCACCGAGUCAACUGCUGAGUGAGUUAUUAGAUCUGACAUCUAAAGAAUACAAAUAGCGGCUAACGACCAUGAGAUGCUGGCCUCCUCGUUGUUCUUGUUGUCAAGCCAAUACUAACUCAUUGUUCUUGCGGUCAGGCUACUACUAACUGUUUGUUGAGUAGCUCACUUGUGCCAGCAAGACACCAUUGAUUUGCUUAUAUCCAGUCGUGCUAUUAAGUUACUGAUGAAGCAAGGCAUAUUCGUCUCAGUGCAUUCAUCCUCUGACUCAUCUGAUAUUACAACAGAUCUCAGUCUCCUUUUAGUGCCACUGUGGAGCUCACGUGAUGACGAUGGUCUUAUCACGUAUCACGGAGAUUGAUGAUAUCAUUUAUUGGAAUUUUGAUGCGUUACCUGGUCUGGCUGGUUUCCAUGCCUCAUUGCAGCUAGAUUUGCUUUGGCGUCAAUUCUUUCGACUUAGAUUGGAGCAGGCGUCGCUUCGUCGGGCGUCGAGCGUGCUUUCGCGUGACUAUGUCGGGCGUCGAGUGAAGCGGCUGGAGGUGGCUUUUUCGUCUGGACGUUGAGUCGCGUGUGAUGUGUUUAAGUCGUCGUAGUCGUUGGCUUCUAAUUGUUUGGUGGGUACUUGUGCAUCCGUGUGUACUUAUUUAUAUACUUUUAGGUGUCUUGGAUUAUGGUGGCUGAGACCGGCUACAAAUCAUAUGCCAACACCGUGUGCAAAUCAGACUUAUGCACCGUGUGCAAAUCAGACUUGUUUUAUUUGCAUGUAUUUGUUCCUGAUCUGGAACUUUCCUCACGUGAGGUGGU